UUAAUUACCAGUCUUAACAAUUUUUCCGUAGGUGAACCUGCGGAAGGAUCAUUAUUGUAUAACCGAGGUGCGAGGGCUGUCGCUGACCCGAAAGGUCGUGCACGCCCGAGUGCCCUCACACACAUCCAUCUCACCCCUAUGUGCACCACCGCGUGGGUCCCCCUUUGGCUUGUUCGGAGGGGGGCUUACGCUUUCACACAAACUUUGUAUGCAGUGUAGAAUGUAUUUUUUGUUUUUGCGAUCACGCAAUCAAUACAACUUUCAACAACGGAUCUCUUGGCUCUC
RNAcentral lists this unclassified non-coding RNA (285 nucleotides) under plant metagenome. Its description in RNAcentral is "partial contains small subunit ribosomal RNA, internal transcribed spacer 1, and 5.8S ribosomal RNA". The record is from RNAcentral.